Molecule: ribosomal RNA, 253 nt
Filed under: uncultured bacterium
Lineage: Bacteria
Description: partial 16S ribosomal RNA
Rfam family: Bacterial small subunit ribosomal RNA
Source: RNAcentral
UACGGGGGGGGCAAGCGUUGUUCGGAAUUACUGGGCGUAAAGGGCUCGUAGGUGGCCAACUAAGUCAGACGUGAAAUCCCUCGGCUUAACCGGGGAACUGCGUCUGAUACUGGAUGGCUAGAGAUUGGGAGAGGGAUGCGGAAUUCCAGGCGUAGCGGUGAAAUGCGUAGAUAUCUGGAGGAACACCGGUGGCGAAGGCGGCAUCCUGGACCAACACUGACGCUGAGGUGCGAAAGCGUGGGGAGCAAACAGG